AUUGAACGCUGGCGGCAAGCCUAACACAUGCAAGUCGAACGAGUGGCGGACGGGUGAGUAAUGUCUGGGAAACAGCCUGAUGGAGGGGGAUAACUACUGGAAACGGUAGCUAAUACCGCAUACCAUCGGAUGUGCCCAGAUGGGAUUAGCUAGUAGGUGGGGUAAAGGCUCACCUAGGCGACGAUCCCUAGCUGGUCUGAGAGGGUGACCGGCCACACUGGAACUGAGACACGGUCCAGACUCCUACGGGAGGCAGCAGUGGGGAAUAUUGCGCAAUGGGCGCAAGCCUGAUACAGCCAUGCCGCGUGUAUGAUGAAGGCCUUCGGGUUGUAAAGUACUUUCAGCGGGGAGGCGUUACCCGCAGAAGAAGCACCGGCUAACUCCGUGCCAGCCGCCGCGGUAAUUC
Molecule: ribosomal RNA, 406 nt
Filed under: uncultured bacterium
Lineage: Bacteria
Description: partial 16S ribosomal RNA
Rfam family: Bacterial small subunit ribosomal RNA
Source: RNAcentral